Molecule: long non-coding RNA, 1574 nt
Filed under: Hordeum vulgare
Lineage: Eukaryota; Viridiplantae; Streptophyta; Magnoliopsida; Poales; Poaceae
Description: long non-coding RNA (HVUL_LNC011164)
Source: RNAcentral
CGCCGCCGCCGCCGCACAGCCGCAGGGAGAGAGAAGGCAAGGAGGAAGGGGAAGAUGCCGGCGGGGCACGGGCUCCGGUCGCGGACGCGCGACCUGUUCGCGCGGCCGUUCCGGAAGAAGGGGUACAUCGCACUCACCACCUACCUGCGCACCUACAAGGUCGGCGAGCACGUCGACGUCAAGGUGAACGGCGCCGUCCACAAGGGCAUGCCGCACAAGUUCUACCACGGCCGCACGGGCCGCGUCUGGAACGUCACCAAGCGCGCCAUCGGCGUCGAGAUCAACAAGCAGGUAUAACCUCACCCCACCUUCUCUGUUCUUCAUCCGUGGUCGUCAUGUUUGUAGAUCGGUGCUGCUAGGGCGAAGCUGUGAACUUGACCGAUGGGACGCGUAAGUCCGGUCUAUUGAGGCUGAUUUAGAUUUCUUGCGGUUUAUUGUUCCUAUAACCUGUCGAAAAUGAGCUCGAACACCAACCAUCUUAGUUCGUUUGAUCUGAAUACAGUGUAGUAAGAUCCUCUUCAUGGCCUGUUCAUCUGUUAUUACCAUGUCAAUUAUGUCUGGCUUACUGUUACUGUCUGUCAAUUUCGUUUCAUUGCUGCACAUUUCUGUAGUGUCCUGCAUCGAUUUGAUGAUCUGUUAUGUUAUGUUUCAUCUUGAGGAAGGAUUUGCUAUCCAAACAUUUAGCCGUUUAGGAAUUACACUGUUUGAUUACAUAUGCCCUAGGCCGAGCGCUUCCCCCUUCAGCUAUGGGAAGGCGUGGUAUUCCACGGGAGAGGUUUUUGUGGCGCACGAUUCGUGUGAUGGGCAUACAUCAAAAUUUCAUUCUGGCUUCCCCUGACUGCAUGCUUUUCCUGCAGCAGUUAUGAGAGCCUAAUUGGAUGAUACACCUAUAAACAGCUGUUUUCAUAUUUAGUGGAUACCCUAGUUUGUUUCACCUAAUAUCUGCAUAUUUGAUGCGUAUCCAAGCCUGUUUCACCUAAUGUGCAUGAAAUUUGGAUGCAUUUGAUGCUUGUUUUGUCUAAUAUUAUUUCUGCACUCCACUAUCUGUAAACUACUUUGGGAUGUUUUGAAUUAGUGUUUGUUUUUGCUUUGUUGAUUCAUACAUGCUGCCUUACAUCUCCAUGCAAAUACUGAGUCAUGUAUGGGUGGUUACAUAAGUUUUAUGUAUGAAGCAUCAUUCACUGAGUCAUGCUUGUCACUGAUUGCAACAUGUGUUUACUGUCAUUAGGUCGGCAACCGGAUCAUCAAGAAGAGGAUCCAUGUCCGUGUUGAGCACGUGCAGCCAUCCAGGUGCAAUGAGGAGUUCCUCCAGAGGAAACUCAACAAUGACAAGCUGAAGGCGGAGGCCAAGGCCCGUGGUGAGGUCAUCAGCACAAAGAGGCAGCCAGCAGGGCCCAAGCCCGGGUUCAUGGUGGAGGGCACCACCAUUGAGACAGUCACACCCAUCCCGUACGAUGUCGUCAACGAUCUCAAGGGUGGUUACUAGAGCGCUUGUUUCCUGAGCAGAAGCUUGAGCCAGUCUUAGUAUCUAUGCUUGUUCCGAAUGUUUUGCUACUGAGUAGUCAUCGUUUUGC